This 484-nucleotide ribosomal RNA is filed under the name uncultured bacterium. RNAcentral describes it as "partial 16S ribosomal RNA". It matches the Rfam family "Bacterial small subunit ribosomal RNA", at positions 30 to 507 of the family's 1533-position model. The record is from RNAcentral.
AUUGAACGCUGGCGGCAGGCCUAACACAUGCAAGUCGAGCGGAUGAAGAGAGCUUGCUCCUGGAUUCAGCGGCGGACGGGUGAGUAAUGCCUAGGAAUCUGCCUGGUAGUGGGGGAUAACGUCCGGAAACGGGCGCUAAUACCGCAUACGUCCUGAGGGAGAAAGUGGGGGAUCUUCGGACCUCACGCUAUCAGAUGAGCCUAGGUCGGAUUAGCUAGUUGGUGGGGUAAAGGCCUACCAAGGCGACGAUCCGUAACUGGUCUGAGAGGAUGAUCAGUCACACUGGAACUGAGACACGGUCCAGACUCCUACGGGAGGCAGCAGUGGGGAAUAUUGGACAAUGGGCGAAAGCCUGAUCCAGCCAUGCCACGUGUGUGAAGAAGGUCUUCGGAUUGUAAAGCACUUUAAGUUGGGAGGAAGGGCAGUAAGUUAAUACCUUGCUGUUUUGACGUUACCAACAGAAUAAGCACCGGCUAACUUCGUG